GAUUAGUGUCUAAAAGUGCUUCAAAGAUAUAUCAUUUAGAAGGCAUUUUACAUUCACUUUGUUUAAAAAUGCUAAUGUUAGUCUCUAAUUCCAAUUCUCAUGCUGUAAAUUCAAUUUCCAUAAAUACAUGGUUAAAAAUGCAAUUAAUUGAAAUACGUAUUUACAUACAUGGCGGCAUGAGUAUUAUACAUUUGAAAGAGUAUCUAUUUGAUGUAUUUCACAUGUAUUUUCAAUUUAUUACAAGUGGAGCAAGUGGAGGAAAAUAAUGUUGAAAAGUCAAAAAUAGUGACUGCCUCAAGCAAGAAGCAGCUGUUGAUAAAAUAAUCAUAACUUGAGCUGCAGACAUUGGAUCGAGGUGAUUCAAGUUGUGUUGGAAAGAUAAGGCACGUUUCUACAACUUUCAUGUUUUGGAAGAAGUCAAAUUCGUAUCACAAGGCAGCCAAGAUUACCGUGCAAAGUCCAGCUUGUUACCUGCCGGAUACAGCUUUACCUGUGAAGCAGCACUUAUUGUUUUUGUCAUAUCUGGAGUUAUAUAGAUCCAAUGAACCUGAUAUUUGAACCAAUGGAAAGAUAACUCAAGUGGAAAUAAUUUAUCUGUUGAUCAUAAGUCCAAAUUCGCUGGAAAAUGUAUCUGGAAAUUGGCAUCAAGUUGCAUGUUCCAGCUGUCUUGAAGCUGGACAGAAACAAGUUGCAUUGCCUACUUGAAUUUUGGAUGUUCCUUUGCCUAUAAAAGGGGACCUUGGCCACGAUUUUGAGGGAAUUCCUCUCCAUCAUAUUCUAGUUUCCUUCAUUUUCUUUGUAACAUUUCACUAUGUAUUCCUAAACAUUUAGCUAGAGCUAGGGGUGAAACUUUGAUGAAUGUUUAGUAUUGUCUUUGAUCUUUCAUUUUGUUCUUCAAUGUUCAUCUUCUUACUUGGUUGAAGUUUGUGUUCUACAAAUGGUUUUGGUUUGUUAAAGACUUUGAUUUAUUGUUGACAAUUUUGGCACAAUAAAUGCUUAGAUAAUCUCUACAUACCAACAACUUAUUUUGACAUAUUCUCUCAAACAAUUAUCAAGAUCUAUCUUUUAAUAUAUUUGUGGUUAAUGUUUUAUCUUCCAUAUGAGAUCAAUCCUUAGUUGAUUUUCAUAUGAGUUAAAUUAAAGAUCAAGUGCAAUUUCUACUCAUUUAUCCAAAGUGAAUCCCCGAUGCUCUAGUGUUCGUCUCAAUCGUAUUUCCACCAACCGUUCAUUUCUCAUAGAAUAGUUUAUUUCCUUCCAAUUCCCUGUGGUUCGACCUCGGACUUCCGAGAUUUACUACUUGCGACAACCUGCACUUGGGUUUGCAACCUUAAAGUUGUAGCA
This 1341-nucleotide long non-coding RNA is filed under the name Olea europaea (common olive). RNAcentral's name for it is "long non-coding RNA (OEUR_LNC014371)". The record is from RNAcentral. Lineage: Eukaryota; Viridiplantae; Streptophyta; Magnoliopsida; Lamiales; Oleaceae.